RNAcentral lists this ribosomal RNA (34 nucleotides) under Exiguobacterium chiriqhucha RW-2. The record is from RNAcentral. Lineage: Bacteria; Bacillati; Bacillota; Bacilli; Caryophanales.
CACACCCGUUCCCAUGCCGAACACGGAAGUUAAG